This 2336-nucleotide ribosomal RNA is filed under the name Vibrio vulnificus. RNAcentral describes it as "bacterial LSU rRNA". The record is from RNAcentral. Lineage: Bacteria; Pseudomonadati; Pseudomonadota; Gammaproteobacteria; Vibrionales; Vibrionaceae.
ACUAAGCGUACACGGUGGAUGCCUUGGCAGUCAGAGGCGAUGAAGGACGUAGUAACUUGCGAUAAGCGUAGAUGAGGCAGUAACAGCCACUUGAGUCUACGAUUUCCGAAUGGGGAAACCCACUGGCAUAAGCCAGUAUCAUUGAGUGAAUACAUAGCUCAAUGAAGCGAACCGGGAGAACUGAAACAUCUAAGUACCCCGAGGAAAAGAAAUCAACCGAGAUUCCGAAAGUAGCGGCGAGCGAAAUUGGAUUAGCCCUUAAGCUUUACAUGUGUUAGACGAACGGUCUGGAAAGUCCGACGAUACAGGGUGAUAGUCCCGUAGUUGACGAUGCAUGUUCAGUGAAAUCGAGUAGGGCGGGACACGUGUUAUCCUGUCUGAAUAUGGGGGGACCAUCCUCCAAGGCUAAAUACUCCUGACUGACCGAUAGUGAACCAGUACCGUGAGGGAAAGGCGAAAAGAACCCCUGUGAGGGGAGUGAAAUAGAACCUGAAACCGUGUACGUACAAGCAGUAGGAGCACCUUCGUGGUGUGACUGCGUACCUUUUGUAUAAUGGGUCAGCGACUUAUAUUCAGUGGCAAGGUUAACCAUCUAGGGGAGCCGUAGGGAAACCGAGUCUUAACUGGGCGCCAUAGUCUCUGGAUAUAGACCCGAAACCGAGUGAUCUAGCCAUGGGCAGGUUGAAGGUUGAGUAACAUCAACUGGAGGACCGAACCGACUAAUGUUGAAAAAUUAGCGGAUGACUUGUGGCUAGGGGUGAAAGGCCAAUCAAACUCGGAGAUAGCUGGUUCUCCCCGAAAGCUAUUUAGGUAGCGCCUCGGACGAAUACUACUGGGGGUAGAGCACUGUUAAGGCUAGGAAGCAGCCAUCAUUUAAAGAAAGCGUAAUAGCUCACUAGUCGAGUCGGCCUGCGCGGAAGAUGUAACGGGGCUAAGUUGUAAACCGAAGCUGCGGCAAUGUUCUWUGAACAUUGGGUAGGGGAGCGUUCUGUAAGCCGUUGAAGGUGUGUUGUAAAGCAUGCUGGAGGUAUCAGAAGUGCGAAUGCUGACAUGAGUAACGACAAGGGAGAAUACCAAGGCGCUUGAGAGAACUCGGGUGAAGGAACUAGGCAAAAUGGUACCGUAACUUCGGGAGAAGGUACGCUCUUGAUGGUGAAGUCCCUUGCGGAUGGAGCUGACGAGAGUCGCAGAUACCAGGUGGCUGCAACUGUUUAUUAAAAACACAGCACUGUGCAAAAUCGUAAGAUGACGUAUACGGUGUGACGCCUGCCCGGUGCCGGAAGGUUAAUUGAUGGGGUUAGCGUAAGCGAAGCUCUUGAUCGAAGCCCCGGUAAACGGCGGCCGUAACUAUAACGGUCCUAAGGUAGCGAAAUUCCUUGUCGGGUAAGUUCCGACCUGCACGAAUGGCGUAAUGAUGGCCACGCUGUCUCCACCCGAGACUCAGUGAAAUUGAAAUCGCUGUGAAGAUGCAGUGUACCCGCGGCUAGACGGAAAGACCCCGUGAACCUUUACUACAGCUUGGCACUGAACAUUGAACCUACAUGUGUAGGAUAGGUGGGAGGCUUUGAAGACGUGACGCCAGUUGCGUUGGAGCCGUCCUUGAAAUACCACCCUUGUAUGUUUGAUGUUCUAACGUUGGCCCCUAAUCGGGGUUGCGGACAGUGCCUGGUGGGUAGUUUGACUGGGGCGGUCUCCUCCCAAAGAGUAACGGAGGAGCACGAAGGUGGGCUAAUCACGGUUGGACAUCGUGAGGUUAGUGCAAUGGCAUAAGCCCGCUUAACUGCGAGAAUGACGGUUCGAGCAGGUGCGAAAGCAGGUCAUAGUGAUCCGGUGGUUCUGAAUGGAAGGGCCAUCGCUCAACGGAUAAAAGGUACUCCGGGGAUAACAGGCUGAUACCGCCCAAGAGUUCAUAUCGACGGCGGUGUUUGGCACCUCGAUGUCGGCUCAUCACAUCCUGGGGCUGAAGUCGGUCCCAAGGGUAUGGCUGUUCGCCAUUUAAAGUGGUACGCGAGCUGGGUUUAGAACGUCGUGAGACAGUUCGGUCCCUAUCUGCCGUGGGCGUUGGAAGAUUGAAGGGGGCUGCUCCUAGUACGAGAGGACCGGAGUGGACGAACCUCUGGUGUUCGGGUUGUGUCGCCAGACGCAUUGCCCGGUAGCUAAGUUCGGAAUCGAUAACCGCUGAAAGCAUCUAAGCGGGAAGCGAGCCCUGAGAUGAGUCUUCCCUGAUACUUUAAGUAUCCUAAAGGGUUGUUCGAGACUAGAACGUUGAUAGGCAGGGUGUGUAAGCGCUGUGAGGCGUUGAGCUAACCUGUACUAAUUGCCCGUGAGGCUUAACC